UAAUUCAUGAUGAAUGCAUAGUUCAGAUGAACUCAUGAUUACAUUUUUUGUAUAGUCUUUCACCCCUAGCUGAUUCAAAUU
Zophobas morio is the source of this 81-nucleotide small nucleolar RNA. RefSeq annotates it as small nucleolar RNA snR60/Z15/Z230/Z193/J17. NCBI's taxonomy places the organism in Eukaryota, Metazoa, Arthropoda, Insecta, Coleoptera, Tenebrionidae. The record is from RefSeq and is a predicted model, not a curated record. The transcript has a single exon.